Molecule: ribosomal RNA, 301 nt
Filed under: uncultured bacterium
Lineage: Bacteria
Description: partial 16S ribosomal RNA
Rfam family: Bacterial small subunit ribosomal RNA
Source: RNAcentral
CAGUAGCCGCGGGAAUACGAAGGGGGCUAGCGUUGUUCGGAAUUACUGGGCGUAAAGCGCACGUAGGCGGAUACUUAAGUCAGGGGUGAAAUCCCGGGGCUCAACCCCGGAACUGCCUUCGAUACUGGGUAUCUCGAGUCCGGAAGAGGUGAGUGGAAUUCCGAGUGUAGAGGUGAAAUUCGUAGAUAUUCGGAGGAACACCAGUGGCGAAGGCGGCUCACUGGUCCGGUACUGACGCUGAGGUGCGAAAGCGUGGGGAGCAAACAGGAUUAGAUACCCCAGUAGUCCCUGUCUCUUAUAC